AUCUACAGUGGUACCACCCUCAACAUGCUCGAUCUUUUCUGAUCUUGGAAGCUAUGCAAGGUUGAGCCUGGUUAGUACUUGGAUGGAAGACCACCUAGGAAUACCAAGUGCUGUAGGCA
RNAcentral lists this ribosomal RNA (119 nucleotides) under Pteropus alecto (black flying fox). The record is from RNAcentral. Lineage: Eukaryota; Metazoa; Chordata; Mammalia; Chiroptera; Pteropodidae.